ACUUAUAAGCUGAGCUUUUCCACUGAACAUGCAUAUCUAAUGCAUGAAUUCUUGACUGAACUGACUUUUGAAUGCUUGACUGAUUAUGCAAUGAUAACGGAUGCUAGCUUUGUGAGAAAUAUUUGAACAUACAACUGAAUGGGUUUAAAGAAUUGAAAACAUCUAGGAAUCAUAGGGUAUCUCCCCCUUGGGACACUAUGUCCCUCUAAG
RNAcentral lists this long non-coding RNA (210 nucleotides) under Capsicum annuum. Its description in RNAcentral is "long non-coding RNA (CANN_LNC017496)". The record is from RNAcentral. Lineage: Eukaryota; Viridiplantae; Streptophyta; Magnoliopsida; Solanales; Solanaceae.